Molecule: ribosomal RNA, 254 nt
Filed under: uncultured bacterium
Lineage: Bacteria
Description: partial 16S ribosomal RNA
Rfam family: Bacterial small subunit ribosomal RNA
Source: RNAcentral
UACAGAGAUCUCAAGCGUUGUUCGGAUUCAUUGGGCGUAAAGGGCGCGUAGGCGGGAUGGCAAGUCGGUCGUGAAAUCCUUCGGCUCAACCGAAGAACGUCGGCCGAUACUGCCGUUCUUGAGGGAUGCAGAGGAGAUUGGAAUUCCCGGUGUAGCGGUGAAAUGUGUAGAGAUCGGGAGGAACACCGGUGGCGAAGGCGACUUUCUGGUCUAUAACUGACACUGAGGCGCGAAAGCGUGGGGAGCAAACAGGG